CCUCUUGUGCUGCUCCCUUGCUGUUUUCUCCAUUACGAAUAGCAGCAGAAAAUGAACAGAGCUGGGGUCCGAGAGGGAAGAUCAGAUCCGCUUCAAAUGGGAGGAGGGAGAGAGUGGAAACAUAACUUCUCAACUUUCUUCCUAGUUUCCUCUGUAAAGGCCGGUAGCUGCUUGAUGUGCAAGGCUCUGGCCCAGAUGUUCCAGCAGCCCAGGAGGAGGCAGGUUUCAGCCCUGGAACAACCAUCGGUUCAGUUGGUUCCAGCAUGACAAGUGCCGUGUUGCUCUCAUUAAGAGAUUGGGUGCAAAGGUUUGACCAGCCAGCCCACUUUCAGGAACAAAUUCGGAAACAAAAAGGAAGAGAACCGGUCCAUUCCUUUUGAAGAUAAAGGUGAGGUAGCACAAACGUCAUCUGAAAGGCUGCGCGUCUAUGUGUUGCCUGUGUUACUUUCACUGAUCAAAUAAAUUGUGAAGGCGACGUGAAGACCUAACUGGCAAGGCAUCUGGGCUCGGUCAGAAAGACUCUUCCUGUUCUCUGUUUUCUUAGAGCUAGAAGAAAAUUCAGUAAGUUGCUGAGUUGAAUGCUUCAUCCUCCUACCUUCUUCACAAGCUUCUGGAGGUGACAGCUGUUUCCUCAGGGCCUGGUAUUUUAGACAUCUCCAUGAUUUAUAUAUCUCUGCAAGCCUCGUGGGUGGAAUUGGAUGUCACAGACAAGCCGAAAAUAACUCGUAGACUCUGAUAGCUACUGGCCCAUGUGGAAAAACUCAGAGAUCAAAUUGAAUCACAUUAUAUGUGCCUGGCAAAUGCACUGGGAUGUACAAAUGGAGCAAUGAUGGGUUAAAAUGAAGUUGAAACGUUACGUGGAGAGGGCUGGCAAGGACUCUGCAAGAACAUUGUGCACAGCAAAACCACCCUGGCUUAGCCCUAAUGGCUGUUUUGCUAAGAUCUGCAGUAGCAUAUGGAGGAAAAGCUCUUCCUUAGAAAAAUAUGCAGUUCCCUGUAUGAUCAUGGUGUACAGCUGGGCAGAAUGCCUUUGGUCCCUACAGUGAGGAAUUCUGUAAGAUACAGAGCAUCUGAAGAGAUGGCAUUGCAGAGCUGUGCUUGGGUGUGCCUGAAGUGUGGCCAAGGAGUUGGAUCCUACUCCCAGGGUCCUUCUUGCUAGAAACAGUACUCAGUGGGGAAAUAACAUUGUGUGGCCUUGGAGUCUGAAGUUAUUAAUGCCUUGUCAGGUACUUUGGGGGUAAUCUGGUGGAAGAGACAGACAACCAAGUAUGCUACACCAACACACGCUUAGUCCUCCAAAAAUACAAACAGGGAGAUUCUGUUCUAUUUAUGGCAUAUAGGCAGGUACCAUGCUGAAAGCAGACUCUCAGGGCUGAGGUGCAAGGGGUAAUUCUCUGGUGAACUUCUCCAGAGCCAGCUUCUCUGCUGCACUCCAUGUGUAGAGCCUUGGGAGUUUAACCCAGCUCUUCAUUAAGGUUCCUGGUUUUCCCUAUAUGCAACCUGGCCUCCUUUGGAUACACCUCAGAACCAGUGUUCGCUAUGAGACGGUAAUAUUUUCCAAGGCUGGGCUAUUCUUCCAUGCCAGCCUCUAGAGGGUAUCAAGAAGCAAUGCAGAAAGGGCCUGGGCACACUCAGCCACACCCUAUAUCCAGCAGUAGGAUGUUCACAGUCUGCCAAUGUAAACUGCGUGAGCAGUGUGCCUCGAUUCACAGCCAGAUCUCCAGCGCAAGAGCAGUGGAUGAAGAGUGGCAGAACUUUUAACUCUUUGUGAGGAGUUAAAAACAGAGUUUACCGUGGAGAAUCAAAACUCCUGGAGGGUACUUCCAGAUCUGGGGGGAGCAUAUCUUACAGGAUUUCCUAUCAGAGUUUCUGCCAGCACAGCCUCCACACAUGACGUUUCUGCAUUUAGGGCUUAUUUUUUUCAGCAGUCGCCUUCAGGUGUUUGUUCCCAGUUAGCUGAGUGCCUCCCAAACACUGGCUUUAACCUCUCUGUUCUCUGCAGUCCCUUUUGAGCCCUAAGACCUGGUGACUAGGACCUCCUGAGGCCUAACCCAGUGCUUUCACCCAGGAACCGUUCAAUCUGCCUCUUUAAUUAAUCAGAUUAUUUAGAUAAGGCUUGUGCUCCUCUCCCUUUCUCUGAGGCCACAUGACUUCCGCUCUUUCCGUGCAUCUUCCAACCUUCCUGUCCGCCUGGUGUUGUUUGCUGUUCCCUUUCCUUCUUUUGAGUCUCUCUGUCACCAAGUGUUGCACAAAACGAUACUUUCGGAUGUACAGUGAAGUGUCAUUGUGGGCAUUAAUCCUGCUCUUAGAGGUCCCUUUAGAAACCUGAAAGCGUUCUUAAAACACCCACAACGAUUUUGGCCGAAAAGGUUUUCACUUUUAAGGUGAUGAGCAAAUAUUUUGUCCAAAGAGCCAAAAUACUUGCACUGAUAAUGGUGAUGUGCCCCAAGGGAAUUGUCAUUUGCAUAUCUUACAUUACUGGGCUUUCAGACUCACAGAUACCUUGGUUCACACUAUGUUUCCCAUGUAGCAUCGUGGUCAUAGACUCGCAGCCCCACUCUUGCAGGAGGAAAAUGUUGUAUCUUUGGAAAACUUGGGUGUAAUAUGAAGUGGCAUAGCCAGAAAUAGAACCCAAGAGCAGUGAGCUUUGCUCACUGUUACCCAGCACAUUUUGGACUUGUCUAUCCAAAAUUUAGGAUUAGGUCAGUGGGAUAAAGUGGUAUAAAAUUGCUGUUCUACCUAGUAAGAUGUUACAUCUGCCUUGCUCUCACAACGUCCUGAUGUGGGUGGCCGCAGAAAAGAGCAGCAACUCCUCUGAUCUUGAGCCCAUUGCUGUAGUGGAAAAAAUAACAGAAGUAUCAUGCAACUGUUAAAAAAAAGCUUCCUAAUUCUCCUGUCACUAGGUGCAGUCCAGGAAACUUUGUGUUUAUAAAGCGCUGUGUAAAUUUGCAGCUCUCUAUAAAUGUAUAAUCAAUAACAAUGUUUACAGUAACAGUGCUUAGUCCAGUUCUGGUAAAAACUCAAGACUGCUCACUUCUUGAUAAGAUCACUUGCUUUACACAGGCACCUCCUCUCCAUGUGAAAACAAAACAUGAGGAGCAGAACAGAAGAUACUUGUGUUCCCUGACAAGAAAAGAAACACAGAAACAAAAUAUGUUCCCUGCAGCAGGUGACAAUGGCAGCAACGACCCAAGGGACUCUCUUAAAAUCUUUCAAGCAGGCCUUAGCCCUUCCACUGAGUGCUGCAAACACACUUCCUGUUCUACGAAAUGAAAAUCUUAACAGCCAUUUCCUUGUUGAUGGCAUCAUGUCUUCAUCUCUUCUCACAAGUACAUGAGAAGGGGGAAAUCCCAGCAACCUGAUGAGCUUUUAAAUCAUUCCCGCAAAAACCAAAUGAAGAAAUUGCAGCCUGAAUGCUGGAUCUGUGGCUACUUGUAUGAUGGGUCUUACACUCUCUGAGACUGUCUGGCGACUGCAGUACCUCUCCUCUGAACUAGGCUGAAAGUCCUGUCUCCAUCCUCACCUUGUUUUGGUGGGACUUGAGGAGCAGAAGGGACCUAGAGCACAGCAGUUGCUCCCUCAAUCUGUGGCGCACAGGUAUAAAGGAAAGCAGCAGCAGCAAGACAAGGCAGAACGGAGCACAGAAGAGUAGGAUCCUUUUGUUAUGAAAAUUUGGUUGAUUAUUCCAUUAUCAGCAAUGAUCUUGGUCAUAUAUGUGCAUUUGCAGUAUCAAAUGCUGCAAAGCCAGGAGGGCCUCUUUGUGGUCAGUUUGGGGCUUGUUCAGUCUAAACAUACUUGGUUGCUCUUUCAGAAUCUUUCUGUGAUCAGAUUGCAAAUAAACCUAAAUAUAAAAUCAGAUAAAAUAGGGCUGAAAAGGAAUUUGAGCGAUCAUGUGAUUCAGCCCCUGCCCGAAGGGUGGAUGUUGAUCGGCGAUAUUUAUGUCCCAAGAGAUGUCUGCAGAACUUGCUUUUAAAAAAGCUCCAGUGGUAGAGACGUUGCCACCUCCCAGGCACCUAGUCACUAUUUUUGCCAUUAGGUAUUUUUUUCUAUGACCUGUUCUGAAGUUUCCUUACUAGGAUGUGAGUCUGUUACUGCUUGUCCCCUUCACUGUGGCAAUGGAGAGAAAUUAUUGCCUUCCUCUUUCCCACAAUUGUUUGAAUGCCUAAAGACUGCUGGCAUGAGACUCUUCUCUUUAGACAAAAGAAGCUCAGUUCUCUCAGGUUUUUUUGUAGACUUCCAGUUGUUCUCAGUGCCCUCCUCUGGACUCUGCCCCGUUAGUCCCACCUUCCUCGAGGUGUGCAAGCCCAGAGGGAUAUGAUGUUCUGGCUAACACUGUGUUUUGCACCACUACUCUGCAGGGCAGAAGGGGAGCUCUUAUAUGUCUUAAAGGUUUGUAGGAGGGUUUCUGCAUUUAUAUCGCAGCAUGGCACUUGGCUUUUUCACAGCUACAGACACUGUUAACACUUGUUCAAGUGCUGCAAGCCCUAUAGUUCCCAGGCCUCUUCCACAGAACUGCUACUCGGCCUGUCCUUCCUCGCCCUCAGUGUGUACACCCCAGUGAGGUGCACCAGAUCGUUCUGAAUUCUGGUUAUCUCCCUUCACCCCAUCAACACUUUCUUUAU
Struthio camelus australis is the source of this 4622-nucleotide non-coding RNA. The record is from RefSeq and is a predicted model, not a curated record. Lineage: Eukaryota; Metazoa; Chordata; Aves; Struthioniformes; Struthionidae.